CCCUGCCUGCCCUUGCCACCCCUGGCUGGCAGUGCCCGUGCUGCUGGGGCCGGUGGUGGCUGCAGCCCCUCUGGCCGUGCUGCAGCCCCUGGCUUCCUUGGCGGCAGCCCCUCCUCUGGCCGUGCUGCAGCCCCCGGCUUCCAUCUCAGCCCCCAGUAGCCCCCAGCAGCCUCACCUACCAGCAGGGAGAUCACGGGCUGGCAGCCCAGAGCGGGCAGUGUGAGGGACGGGAGGAGAGCAGCCCCGGGAGGGAUCAGGGGCCGGUAGAUGUAGAUGAUGAAGAAGAGGAUAUAGAGAUAGUUGUUGUAUAGAUAGUUAGAGGGUAUGAUGAUAGUUGAUAGCGAUGUAGAUUAGUUGAUAGCGACGUAGAUUAGUUGAUAGUGACGUAGAUAGUGAGAUAGACAGCUGAUGGUGGUAUACAGGUAGUAAACAGAUAGCAGAGAGCAAGAUGGGUUAUUGGUAGAGAGGUGGUUUGUGAAUAGCAAGGUAGUUAGCAGCAAGCAAGAGUUAGUAGCAAUGUAGUUAGAUCAUAGCCAGAUAGCUGAUAGGGGGAUGCAGGAUAGAAAGAUGGGUGACUGGGAGAUAGUUAAUUUAUAGCCUGUGAUAUAAGAAGUUGCUAAAAAGAACUUAAUCUCUGUUUCAGAUGAGCCAUUGCGUCCUGGGACACCUCUCUCCCCGCCAGCAUGGGGUGAAGAGCAACACCUGAUGCUGCCCCAGCGCUGGCAGAAGAACAGCAGCUCUGCAGAGACCCGUCCUGCCAGCAGAGCAUCACGGAGAAGAAGACGCGCCUUCUGCUCACAGGAAGAACUGGACUGAAGAGGAGAGCGCCAGCUGACAGCGCCCGUCUGGUGUGAUGUGCCCAGAGAGAGACUCGUCCAGCAAGAGAUAGAGUAGAUAGGGAGCAUAGGGACCCAGUUAGCUCUAAAAUGUCUUAGUAGUGCAGUUGUAAGAAAGCUCUGUAAAUAAAUUGUAUGCCAUUGUUUUCAUAUCCUUACACUGUGUCCAAAACUGUGUUUGUUCGUAGCCCGAUAUGCCUAGAAAUAAAUGACAGAACAAUAAAUCUUUUCCUC
This 1070-nucleotide long non-coding RNA is filed under the name Gallus gallus (chicken). RNAcentral describes it as "lncRNA (ENSGALG00010028335.1)". The record is from RNAcentral. Lineage: Eukaryota; Metazoa; Chordata; Aves; Galliformes; Phasianidae.